Molecule: long non-coding RNA, 546 nt
Organism: Morus notabilis
Lineage: Eukaryota; Viridiplantae; Streptophyta; Magnoliopsida; Rosales; Moraceae
Exons: 4
Source: RefSeq, a predicted model, not a curated record
GGUGGAUCUUUCUAGAUUUGUUUGCAUCCCUAGUUUAUGCUCCAAUAGGAAUGAAUUGGCUUCUGAUGACUACAUAGUAAGAGAUCUACUGUGCGGACAGAUACGGAUCAAACAUCUAAGCAAUGGUGAUGCUGUAAGGAUAAGUUUGAACAGAAUGAGCCUGAUCGAGAAAAAGAAGCCAAGAUAUUAGAUUCCAUUGAACAUCUGUUCAACAAGCAAGGAAAGAUUGGUGUCGGCCGCACAAAUAUUUCAUAAAAAAGUGUGGAGAAAAGGAUCCAGAGGAAGUAAAAAAACACAAACACAAACAGGUGCUGGUGCAGGCAGAUUGGGAUUCGUUAUGCGAUUAUUGGACGAUUGAAUGGUAUAAGAAAAAAUCAGCAACCAAUGCUUUGAAUCAGCAUUCAAGGAGCUAAAUCAUUUGCUUCUUACUUGUUUGAUAAGCAAAAAGCAAAGGAGGUUGAUAAUUCUAGUGGAUUAAUUGAGCUCUAUCAUGAUAUGUGCCAUCACAAGACUAAGGGUUGAUCUUGGCCAGUAUCAGAGAAAAAC